Molecule: long non-coding RNA, 12523 nt
Filed under: Lynx pardinus (Iberian lynx)
Lineage: Eukaryota; Metazoa; Chordata; Mammalia; Carnivora; Felidae
Source: RNAcentral
GGAGGGGAGACCUCGACGGGAGGUCCAGGCUUGCCUACCGGGUGCUUCUGCGCGGCUUCUCUCCCUGACCCGCUUUCUCUACAGCUCAGCGCACACACGCACCCGCAUAACGGGUUUGUGGGUUUGUGGGGUUGGGAGCCCGGGUGCAUCUCUAGCUAGGCCGCUAAUCGGGAGCCCCCCAGUCGCGUAUGCACGCGCUGAUUCCCCUUGGUCUCCCCCUCCAUUGCACGCUUGUCUGCCUCGACUGGCGGCGGCGGUGGGGGGGGGGGGGGGGGGNNNNNNNNNNNUCGGGCCUCAGGGCGCAGAGGAGGCCGACUUUAAAAGUGUGCUUGACCCGGGUGAGGGGUGGAUUGCAGAAAUUGGAAUCAGGCCCAGGUUAAGAGUUGCGCACCAGAGGCACGAGUCCAAGUGGAAGAGACUCAGAGGGCUCCCGGCCCGGGGGCGGAGGCCCCUGGAAAGAGUGCAGGAGCCCUCGGCGAACCUGUUGCAAAAAGAACACAACUCGGCCAGAGGUUUGGCUCCAGGGAGAUCUUUAUGGUAGAGGUCGGAGUUCUACACCACCUACCUUCACUGAACAGCAAAAACAAACGUAGUACCCCGCGGGACAAGCCAGAGCGCCCACAGCCGCGUCCUCGCCCUCGCGGGGGCAUGGACUCCUAGGUUGCUUAUUAGGUAUCAGGCAUAUGAAAUGCCCCAAGACAAGGAUGUAAAAUUGUAAUUCCCAUACAUCCACUCAAAGUAAGGUUAGCGGUGGAAGUGCGAAUUUUUACACACACAUAACCACCCAGUCUCCAGGCACCUUUCCAGCUCCCUCUGAUGGACCAGACAAACACUAGGACGCACACCAGGACUGCUGGAGUAAAUCCGACCUUGGGCGGGUCACUUGGCGCUGAGGCGGCCACUGUCGGCCUCAGCUGGCAGCUUUGUUCGAUGGCCCUAUUGGGCCUCCUCCUUUUGUGGUGCUCGAUUAAUUAUUAAGAGAAAUAUUCCCGAGCUGAAUUAUAGAUAUGCUCUGCUCUCACCUAACUGCUGUUGGCUCAGCGAAGGACACCUGGAGGACUUCUUUUCGUUGUCUGAUUUUUUUUUAAUCUUUUAAAAUAAUAAAAUAAUAAAAAUAAAAUAGCUAAAAAAUUCACAUUAUAAUCAGUGAAAAGAAAGAAAGAAAGAAAAGGAAAGGACAGAAGAAAGAGGAAGGAUGGAAGGAAGGAAGGAAGGAAGGAAGGAAGGAAGGAAGGAAGGAAGGGGGGACAGAGAGAAAGAACUGAUGUGCAUGGUGGUUUUCCUAACAUCUUCUAGCUAGUACACCUUGAAUUUUUGUCCUGAAUAAAUUUACCUGUGAUCUUCUGGCCUCAACCAGGGGAGGAGGAACUGAGAGAAAGGUACCUCCACACUGGCUCAAGUGAGGUUUCAUUAAGGCAAGUAGGGAGGGUGGAUUGCCUCAAAAGUAAAAGUGAUCACGUGCUCUGGCCUGAACCCUCCCUCUGUACCUCUAUAAUGUGAUGUAGACGCUGUACAGUUUCACACAUACCAAGAGCAGAUAUUUGAGCUUAUUGCUGUCUCAUGAGAAACAUGUUUCUUGGGAUGGUAGAAAGCAGGACUGAGAACACAAGAUCUUGGGACUGGUUUCCCAAAAGCGAUUUGUGAGAUCUAUCCAGAGCAACUGUGGAAUGCUUUCAGAGAGAUGAAAACAGAGAGCGAUAUGAAGUACAAAAGAUGACAGCUAUAUUGAAGUUUGGGUAUUUUAAUUGGAUCAUGUUAAAACUUUAUGAAUUAUGUCUCCGUGUGCCCUUUUUUGUUUGUUCCUUUCAUGGCCCAGAGAAUUUUAAGAUUUAAAAAUGUCUGAGGACUUUAUGAAUACUUUGUACUUCUUAGGUAUCGGGAAUCUGAAUUACUAAAGCACCACAGUGAGAACACAGCUGACGGAAAACCACUCUCACCAAGACAGUCAUUCAGGUCAUACAAGGAGGACUUAUUGAGGACUCGAUCGAGGCAACUAACACUCAUCGAGUACCCACCUAAUACCUGGCUCUGUGUAAGUUCUUUGCAUGCAUAUUGUCUAAUUUUAUCUGCAUAAGGAAACACGUUAUAUGGUAGGUACUAUUUUAUUUACAUUUUACGGAGAAGGAAUUGAGGUUUACAAUGGUUAACAAACUUGCCUAAAAGUUAUAUAGCUAACUAUGUAACAGAACUGUGCCUUUAACAUCAGACUCAGCAAGCAGGAUGGACCCCGUGCUAGUGAUGUAACACCAUGUGUUCUGUGCCCAUUUGUCCUCACAAAGGAAUGGCUGUUUCAGAUACAUAGAUUAUGAAACAAGGGGGUAUGUGCUAUGAUGAAGGUUUGAGAGUGGUGUUCCGGGGAUACAAAGAAUAGAGUAGCAUCUAAUUGGGGGAAGCAAGGAAAGAUUGACCAGGAAAGGGGAAAUGUGUCUGAACAAUGGCGAGAAUAAAGUUUAUGCAGGCAUGUGUCAUCAGGGUGAACCAAGAGUAACUAGGAUAUGGGGCGCCUGGGUGUCUCAGCUAGUUAAGCUUCGGACUUUGGCCCAGGUCAUGAUCUUGCAGUUUGUAAGUUCAAGCCCCGUGUUGGGCUCUGUGCUGACAGCAGAGCCUGGAGCCUGCUUCAGAUUCUGUAUCUCCCUCUCUCUCUCUGUUCCUCCUCUGUUCAUGCUCAGUCUCUCUCUCUCUCUCUCUCUCUCUCUCUCAAGAAUAAAUAAACAUUAAAAAAUUAAAAAAAAAAAAAAGAGUAACUAGAAUCUGAUUGAUAGGUGGGGUCCAACUGGGAAGAACAUUCUGCUCCCCAGCCUUCACCCAUCUCUCUCUCUCUCUCUCUCUCUCUCUCACACACACACACACACACACACCUCUUUGCCCUUUCUUUAUAAAGCAAAUGAGAAACCUUCCAUUUCUCUCCCUGAAAUUCUCUUAAAGAGUCCCAGAAAUUCACAUACACAGUAGCAGAAAGAUUUUUUGCUUGUGACCAACAAAAUCUACCUUGUCUCAGUCCCCGAAAUCUAUUUUCCUUGGAGAGGAAAAACUCAUUUUCUAACCUUUCUUAGUCAUUGACUAGUCAACAUUCUUUAAGCUCCCCAUCUCCAAAUACACCUUUUACCACAAAUAAUUUCUCCCUGGCUUUGAAUUCUCUCAGUGGUGGUACAUAUGUUCCAGACCACACUAUGAAGUCUUUGUUUAUAUAGAAAGGGGCAAAGGGCAUUAGAUCUUCCUUUGUACAAAGCAGAUAGGAGGCCCUGAGGGAUACAAACUAAGUCCAUUAUAAAUGUUUUUGUUCUCUUUGGGGACUGUGAUCCCAGUGAAUUGCAAUGUUCUAUUUACUUCUCUCUCUCCCUAAGAAGCCUUCAACCCUUCCCUGAAAAUAGGCACUGUAUCCCAAGCAACCAGUGCAAAAUACCUGACCCAGAGUAGGCACUGGAUAAGAAUGUAACAAAAUGAAUGAAUAAUGGAAGAGGCUGGCUUUCGUUUGCCAAAAACGUUCAGCGCAUGUGUUGGGAGAAAAAAAAAGAAGAUGGGUUUUUGCCUGCUUACUCCCAGCCUCUCAACUAUCUGACUUUUAAAAUUCUGAAGGAUGUGAAAAUAAAGUCCUAGGAAAGUUGAUCUCAUGCUUCCCAUUCCCAAAUUUAUGGAUGUGGAUGUUCUGUUCUGCCCAUAUAAUUCCUUAUAAAAUGUAGAUCACUCAGCCAGUUUUUCCUUAUAUAUGGAUUUUCAAUGACUGUCCAUUACCAUUCCCCAUUCCUGAUUCCAUCUUAUCCAUAUCAGUACUGGUGAGGUCUUAAGAUGUAAGAAAAGCAUAUUUACUUUUUUUGACAGUGAGGAAACAUCAUCCCUGCAGAGGAAGACUGACUACUUUCUUCCUGACUUUAUGAUCACAACAUUGCCCCAGGCACAAUGGGCAGCAGGAUAUCCUGCACCUGCCUGGGGAGGACGCCUGUGGUCUAGAAGGUGCAAGAUGAGUCAACAUACUUAGGUGGUAGGGGUCUGUCUGGUAGAAGUCACACAAGGGGCAGAGAGAAGCAGUAACGUAAAUGAAGCUAGAAAGAAAAGUCCUAAGGCAGAAGGAGCCCCAAGGCAAAGGCUAACUGGACAAGAAUGGCACUUGUGAGGAUAAGCAAAGAUAAGCAGACCACACUAUGGUUUAGGAAAGGAAAGUGAGGGUGGACGUGGAUAUGCCAUGCUCAAGAGUUGGAACUAGGGGCUAUGACAAAACACUGCAUAAAAGGAUUCACAACCCUUCUUUUAUCUCUACAUGCAGGACAGAUGGGGUUUAUAUGCAUAGUGCAUUGCCCUAGGCAAACUUAGAUCAGCAGUCGCAGCAUCUACUAAAUAGACUGAGUUACAAGCAUUUCUGGUCUUCCUGGCUGCAAUGGUAUCCCUUUCUCUCCAUCUAUGAAUGCAUCUCGGAGGCCAAGUGAGUGAAAUUGAGUUGGCAUAGUCUAAAUUAUCUCUGAAUAGUUUUCUAAAUGCAAAUCCAUCAAAAAUGUCCUUUAAUUGAAGCAAAGCACCCCACCUUGAACAGUGAUACACUGAUGUGGGGUGACAUCCCCUCUGUCAGAUCUACUCUUCCACAGUGAAGUACAGUCUUCCUUUUAGCUCUUUGUUCUGCUUUCCUUAUACCUAAGUGGAAAAUAGGGCAAUUGUGGAGACUCACAAUUAAACUUAGGUGCAAAAUAAAAAUCACCCACAACCUUGUCUUGGCACCAAUCAGGAGCAAACCUGGGGCAGAGGUGAAUCAAGUGAGGUUUAGUUAUAGAAUGGUGUUAUUUCCUAUAGAUACUACCACCACCAUGCCUUUUGUAGUAACUUCUAUUAGUUUACAUCAAGGAACUUUUCCAUAUACCUACAUAUAGGCCUUUUCAUAAAAAUAAGAGGUCAUGGCAUACUUCCUGCCAAAACUAUGUUCCACACCCCCCAGAAUCCCUUUUAAAUUCAGUCAAUAACCAUGGAUGGCUUUUUAUUCCUUGCUACCAGAGAAUCUAUAAUGAAACAGAAGUUCUAACUGAGGACAGCACAUCCUGCCUUUUAGAGAAUAAGCAGCAGAGUGUCAGACCCUGGGGAGGAAUCUGGGAACUACAUUUACAAAUCAGGACACCUGGGGAUAGCAAUCAUCAUCGCCUUUUAUGUAAAUGUGAGUGGAAUUCAGAUUGUAGAACUGUGAACAUUUCUCUCUGCCCAGGGCUAUCUUCUUAACCCCUAGAAGAGUCCCCUACUAUCCAUUCCCUAGCCCUUUGGGGGAGCAUGUGCUAGACAAGAGCUUUCUGACAAUUAACCAAAUCAGAAGGAGAGGUAUUCAGGGUGAUGGCAUCUUGGAAGAGGUGUGUAAACAUUCUUAUGAUGCAGAACAGAGGCCUAUUAUGAGCUUUGGUGAUGGCUGUUCUAGGGAGUGAAUGGUGUUGAUCAAAAUCAAACUGGGGGAGUAGGGGAAGGAGUCAACUCUUACAGCAGAAUCUAGCCUUUCCUAUUUUAAGAGGCAGAGAGAGAGAAAGUGCACAAGAGGUGGGAGGGAAGGGGGGGGAGAGAGAGAGAGAGAGAGAGAGAGAGAGAGAUCCUAAGCAGGCUCCGUACUGUCAGUGCAGAGCCCAACGCAGGGCUCAAUCUCAUGACUAUGAGAUCAUGACCUGAGCCUAAACCAAGAGUAGGACACUUAACCCACUGAGCCACCCGGGCACCCCUCCAGCACACUAAUUCUAACAGCAUCUUGCCAGAUUGUUUUUAAAGUCUUGGGAAAUCUUUGGUACUCUUACUUUUACAGGACCUUUCUGGCAUUGUAUCUAGCAUAUUUAAAAUGCUUACACAUUCCAUAUUAAAGGUUAUGUCAACUAUUUUACAAUUGAGUUGCAACUGACUAGUAGACAGUAUUAUACUGACAUUUCACAGUAUUUUUCCCACUGUAUUUCAGAGCUAAUCAUUUCAUUUUCAGAGCAUAAACACUUCAUAACCUUGUGAAAAGCUUAUAGGCACAAGUCAUGGCCCAGAAACAAACUAUAAUCCCUGAACAAAGAAGUAGCUCCUUGAUUAGUAUCAAGUAUUUUAAGAUUUUUGGCUUUUUAAGGAAUUAUUCACUAAUCUCAUUGGCUGAUAAAGUCUGGAUGAAAAGUAUCCUCCUUCACCUGUUUAUUUGCGUAUGAAUAUAUGCUGACGUAUGUGAAUGCAUCCUGUGUUUAUGUUGUCUUCUAUGUUGUGUGUAAGCUAUAAUGGGAAAGCUAAUUAUUAAAGUCUGCAAACGCACCCAGAGGCUACUGUGAGCGAUGCAUCCAAAAAAAAAAAAAAUCUAAAAAUAACUAAGUAAUAAAUAACCAUUUGCAGAUGGGAAUUGUUCAUGCAGUUUUCUAAACAACAGCAGAUUUCUUUAAGAUAUGUUUUUUUUUUUAAUUUUACUAAGUGUACUAAAUCUUCUGUACUUAAAGGCAGAUAAUUUGAAUAAGAGUGACAUAAAAUUGCCUCCAAAUUAGAGUUAUUUUUAAGACAAUAUCAAACCAUCGCUUUCAUCUUAAAAUAGCUUUACACAUGCAUAUUCUAUGUUAGUUAAAAGCACGAAGAGAGUCAUUUCUGAAAGGCAGGGCAAUUUUUUUAGCAAUUAUAUUAGCAACUAUUUUAGAAUACUACAAUUGCUAAAAAUGUAAGGGCUACUCUUCAAAAUAAUAUCAUGAUUGCUUAGUGUUAUAUUUGUUCGGGUUCACAUGAAAUAAAAAAAUAAAAAUAAAAAGGAUAAAAAAGGAGACUAAACUAGAGCUACAAAGUUCAUUAUAGUCUGGGAAUACAUUGCAGAAAUAGUCAGAAAGCUGCAGUUUUCAGCAAGGAAAGAUGAAAGGAAAUUAGGGAUUCUUAGGAGAGGUGGCAUUCCAAACUUUGCAAACAGUUAAAAUAGUACUACUAACCAAAAUUUAAAAUCACCAUACAGAGUGGGCUUGAUAUAUGAUUAUACGAAACAGUUUAUUCCAUCCAGGAUGGAUUCAAAGUAUUUGGCACAAUCUUUCAAGAGAACUCCAGUUCACAUGGCUUUUUACCAUCACUGAUGUAUAUAUAGUUAGUGGUCUGGUCACAUGCUCCAAACUUAGCUCAACACAGACCCUGCACUAAUAACAUAUUUAAUAACACAAUUAAUUUUCCUGUUUGUAAGGCAGUGUACAUCCAUCAAGUGAGAAACUUUGGGUCUGGUAUUAAGCUUAAAGAAAACAUUAGUAUAAUCUCCUCUUCCACUUGGGGAAGUUACUAAAUAUUUCAUUCCUAAAUGAAUGUGAUAUAUGCAAAAAAUAAUUUCACUUGCUUACAGUGAUAUAUAGGUUACAGAUUAAAAGCACAGCCUCUAAAAUCAGUAGAUAUCUAUCUAUUAUUAGAUGUAUGAGUUUGAUUAGGUUUAAACUUUCUAAAUGUAACAUUCUCAUAUACAAUAUGAGAAUUGCACCUGCUGUUUAUUAUACUUAACACUUAUAACUCAGAGAAAACAUAGCUAUUUUUAUUAAACCAAAAAUAUUAUGUAACUGUCAUUUGCCAAAGAUUUGCCUAAAUUAUGUGAGCUUGAAAUCAUAAAACAUUUGAUUUUAUUUCUGUAAAGGUACUUUUUAAAUCUAGCACAUUGAAAGUCUUAGUAAUUCAAUUUCCUUAAUUUCUGGGAAUUUUAGGGAUAUUCAAUUAUAUAUGCAAUAAUUUACCUCUAAGCCUAUCAGAAUAGAACUCCUUAAAGAGAUCUUAUAAUCAAAUUCAGUAAUUUCAUCUGAAAAUAGGAAAUAUUAUAUAAUGAAAGGCAAAAGCCUUUCUAAAUGACAGACAUAAAUAUCCAAAGAGAGAAAAGAAAACAUAGCUUUAAUUCCAAAAUUUCAGUCAUAAGGGCGCUUGAAUGGCUUAGUCAGUUAAGCAUCAGACUCUUGAUUUUGGCUCAGGAUGUGAUCUCAUUGUUGUGGGAUUGAGCCCCAUGUUGGGGCUCUGUACUGAGUGUGGAGCCUGCUUAAGAUUUUCUCAUUCCCUAUUCCUCUGUCCCUCCCCUCUCAGACUCUCUGUCUCAAAAUAAAUAAAUGUUUUAAUAAAAUAGAAUAAAAUUUCAGUCACAGGUCAAACAGAAACACAGAAACACAAAAUUCACUGAUCCACAUUAAUAAGCUAUUCCUUUCCCAGUGGGCAUAACUUCUUAAUUAAUUUGAACUCAGACAAAUAGACAAACAGAAAAGACUAACAAACCAGAGUCUCUUACUGUCUUUCACAUGAAAGAGACAAGAUUUCUAUAAAUCAUUAAUUCCUUUACAGAGACCACCAAAAGAAGACCACAAAACCAUAAGAAGCUGGCCACAGAAAUCAAGCUGGAACCUUACCCUGCUACCUGUGGACAUGAGUCCAUAGCACAGGAAUCAGACUCACCACUGGGUCUCCAAUCAUUCUUCAGGAGCAGAGCACAAAAGGGGUACCAGAGGCUUCUCUACCUGGGUAUGUAAACAGGGACCCAAAAAAACGAGAUCUGGUCCUCUCUGAGUUACAGCACCAAACUGUGAAAGACAAAUACACCAGCCAAGGAGAUUAUUUUAUGCAAAGUAUUACAAUAGCAAGAAUACUCAUUAAUAAGGAAUGUCUCAAAGAACAAAAGGGGACCUGGGACUUUUUAGUGGCAAGUAAGCAAGAAAGUCAUCUCAGACUUUAUGGGAGUCCUGAGAGAGGACAGAAAUGGGUCUUCUCUCAAGACACACCAGUGCAGGGUGCAAAGUGGUCCUUAAAGGGUGGGAAGAUUUCCAAACCAUUCUUAUUUUCCAGAACCGAAAGGGCUCAGAUAAAGUUCAGCAUUAUCACAUUGUCAGUUUUAUAAAAUGUAUAUAAGGGGGAAAAUGUCAGCAAUUAUUGUUGGAGGGCACAGUACACUUGGCAGUGUAAUUUACACAUUCUGCAUAGAGUCAAAUACUGACUAUCCUUUAUUACCUGUAGGACGUUGGGGAAAUUACAUAAUUUCUCUGGUUUUUAAUUUUCUUAUCAGUUUAUUGGGCAUAGAAAGUAGUGGUCUCUUCGUAAAGCUGUUGUGAAGAUCAAUUAUCACAAAGACGAAAAAUUCAAAGACCAGGUUUUCACCGCUUGCACUCACAGUGGUUAACUAUCAUUGUCAUCACCACUUAGAACUGAGUGAAUGCCGUAAAACAAGAGGUUACUGUUUUUUUCCUAAAAUCCACCUGGUGAAGUAAACAUUUCUAAAGCAUAAGGAUUUACUUUUUUAUUUUCCCAAUUGGCUUGGUAAUUUUAACGGAAACUUUGGUACUUCUUAAUAUAAUAUUUAAACAUUAUUUUCACUUCAUUAAGAUAGAGGGAAAUUUUGAAUUUAUUUCUUUUUUUUUUUCAACGUUUAUUUAUUUUUGGGACAGAGAGAGACAGAGCAUGAACGGGGGAGGGGCAGAGAGAGAGGGAGACACAGAAUCGGAAACAGGCUCCAGGCUCUGAGCCAUCAGCCCAGAGCCUGAUGCGGGGCUCGAACUCACGGACCGCGAGAUCAUGACCUGGCUGAAGUCGGACGCUUAACCGACUGCACCACCCAGGCGCCCCUGAAUUUAUUUCUUUAAAAAAUUCUGUUACUGUAGAGGAAGCAGGAGAUAAGCUGUUCCCUAAAUAAUUAACUGAAUCUUAACAAAUUAAACCAAAAUCAAAGUUGGAGAAAACUAAAUGACGCUAAUGAUGUUGUGUUAAAAUUCAUAAUUCUGCUGUUCUCCAACUGAGCUGAUGUAAGCUAGAACUGAUUGAAUGUAGUUUGAGAAAGAUAAUGUUUAACUUCUUGUCAUCUUCUUUUCCUUUUAAUGAGUGAAAUUAAUGGUAAGGAAAUUUUGCUAGAUCACUGACUAUGGAAGGACAAAGGUUUUCCUGUUGAAGAGUAGCAAAUAAAGCAGUCCUACAAAUUCUUGAAUGACCAGGCAAUUCUCUUCCUCUACUUAGAGCUUGGAGAGCUUUGUCACAGGGUUCAGAGUCUGUAUCUCUUUCAGUUCUCAGCCUCCUACUGAUGCUAUUAAUGCUACCUAAUUUAAUGACCUUUACAAUAUCAAGAAGGAAAAUAAUUUAUGCUGAUUUCCUUGACUCCCUACCUGUGAUGAGGACAGAUUUAAAAGGGGGGGGGGAGAUGGCGAGAUGAGGGAGCAUUUUUUUUCUCAUUCUGAGCUGAGUCUCUCAAGCACUUUACAUCCACAUUGCAAAGGACUUUAGAGGUAAUACCUGUUUACUAAGUGGACCAAACUUAGAGCUUUGAGCUAAAGAGCUCUUGAAAUCAUCCAGUACAUUUAGUAUAUUUAAAAACAAGACAAAAUUUUUAUUCCAAGAACUGAGCAUCAGAACAGAUGAUUAUAAGAAAGAAGAGUAUGGCCAUAAGAAGAUUCAAAUCUACCUAAAUGCUUGAGAAGACAAAGCCAACCUUUACAUGACAUUGUACUAAAUAUAUAACAUAAUAUAUAAGUUUCUCUGGUUUCUGAAGUCCUUUGGUUCAGAUUCUGAUUCUAUCACUGAUAGACAAUAGGCAGUUAACUGUAAACUUCCUUUUCUUCAUCUGAAAAGCGAGAAUAAAGGAAGUAUACACAUUGCAGAAUUGCUUUGAGGAUUAAAGAGAAAAUUCAAUUGAUUAGCUCAGUUCUUGGCCCAUGGUAAGUACUCUAAGAAAUGUUAGUCACAGUAGUAGUAAAAUAGUACAUAUAUAUAUAUAUAUAUAUAUAUAUAUAUAUAUAUAGAAUAAAAAAUUUAUAUAUAGACCACAUGCAUAGUCUACAAUUAGCAAAUCUGAGAGUAUAUAAUUAAAUAAUAUGUAUGGUGGCACAGAUAUAAAUGUAAUAGCAAGUCAAAGGAAGGAAGAACAGUGGGGAUAUCCUUUGGAAAAUUAAUGUUUUUUCUACCAUGCCUGGCAACUAGUAAGCUCUUGAUAAAUGUUAGGUGCUUUUAUUAUCACUGUUAUUGAUUGUGGUAGGCUUUGUAGAGGAGGUUAAGACUGGAGUUGAACCUUAAAGAAUGGGUAAGAUAAGAGUAGCAAAAAGGACUCUCAAAUGAAGAUAAUUUCAGGACUGAGGUAUCUGAUGUGGCAAUUAGCAUGACACAGCCUAUGAAGAUAAGACACUGGUCUGAAGAGAACCAGUGAGGAUAUCCUCCAAUUUAUCAAUAAGGCGUUUUCAUUAUUAUCUUCAUUAAUAAUCCUUAUAGUGUUUGAGUGCCUGUUACUAUAUGUAGUAAGCUGAACCAUAGCCCCUGGUCCUUUGUGUCUUAAUCCCCAGAUCUGUAAAUAUUAUCUUAUUUGGAAACAAGGUCUUUGCAGAUGUAAUUAAGUCAAGGAUCUCGAGAUGAGGAGAUCAACCAGAUUACCCAGGUGAGCCCUAAAUCCAGCAAAUAUCCCUAUAAGAGAAACAUAGGAGAGGCCCACAGAGAACAGGAUAAGGCAAUAUAGCCAUGGAGCAGAGACUAGAGUAAUGCAGUCACAAUCUCAGGACUACCAACAACCACCAGAAGCUAAGAGAAGCAAGGAACAAGAACUCCCCUUGAGACACAAUGGGUUUGAACUUCUGACCCCCAUAACUUUGAAAGCAUACCUUUCUAUUUAUUGGUUUGACAAAGCUGUGGUAUUUAAAAAACAAACAAACAAACAAACAAAACCCAGCCACACUGAAAAUGAGUACACUAUGCCAAACAUUUACUUUAUUCAACCUAAGCCUUCUACAAUCUUCUAAAAUACAACAUAAGUGUUAUCAUCACCAGUUACAGUUACUAUAGAAAUAUUUAAUAGGCACUACAGAGAUAUUUAACAGGCACAUCUAACCUAGUCUAAAGGAAGGGUCAAGAAAAACUUCUGUUUCUUUAAAAUGUUUAUUUAUUUAUUAUGAGAGAGUGUGCAUGCUCUGGGGAGAGAAGGGGCAGAGAGAGGGGAGAGAGAGAAUCCCAAGCAGGCUCCCCAACACAUCCCACAAACUGUGAGAUCAUGACUUGAGCCAAAAUCAAGAGUCCAAUGCUUAACCAACUGAGCCACCUAGGUGCUCCAAGAAAAACUUCUUAAAGGAAGAAAUGUCUAAAGUUCAAUUAAUUAUAUGGGUAGGAGUUAGCCUAUACAGGAACUGAGAGGCAUGACAAGCAGGUGGAGGGCCUAUAUGAAAGGAUGAAGGACUGAACAAAGUUUGGAGAGGUUGGGGAAUAGGAGAAAGAGUAUCUUGGAUGGAGCACUAGGGUUUGACCAAAGGUGGAGGAUCUGCCUGAGCCUGGGUGGGCUUCCCGGAAACAGAGGGAGGCAGGCUACAGGAGAGGCAGAGUCUAGGAGAUUCUAAUAACAAGGAGAGAUCAGAAUUUCUUUGUUUUAUCAGCUAGCCUUUUGAUAAAUAAUAGAUAGGCCUGGAUUAUUUUAAAGCCGUGCAGGUGUGGAAGGGGUAGAGGGAGAGAAAGGGGAUAAAAUACACAUGGAAAUCGGCAUAUGCUCUCCAGGGUUUUGCAGAAACCAGUUGGUAGCCCCCAAAGAAAAUCAAUAACCACUGCUUCUAUUUGUGGCUCUGUUUCCACAGAAACGUGUUUGCGGGUGAAUUUGGAAGGCAGAUUUACA